UCUCUUUUCUGCGGCUGAUUUUCGGAGUCGAGCUUAACACAUUUACCUUUAGAUAAGAAUUAUUUACCUCUUCCUGAUCCCAUGGUUUAUGCGCUAUUUCAAAGAAAAGCUCAAAUUAUAUCAACUAACUUUGUAGAUGAUCACCACGAAAACUUUUUGCGUCUUCUUCAUCAAUAACAUAAUACUAAAAGUCACUUCAUAUCAUCGUC
Molecule: long non-coding RNA, 209 nt
Filed under: Brassica napus (rape)
Lineage: Eukaryota; Viridiplantae; Streptophyta; Magnoliopsida; Brassicales; Brassicaceae
Description: long non-coding RNA (BNAP_LNC004953)
Source: RNAcentral